CGCUAGGUACGGUCGGAAAUCGUGCUGAUAGUGCAAUGGCAUAAGCGUGCUUAACUGCGAGACCGACAAGUCGAGCAGGUGCGAAAGCAGGUCAUAGUGAUCCGGUGGUUCUGUAUGGAAGGGCCAUCGCUCAACGGAUAAAAGGUACUCUGGGGAUAACAGGCUGAUACCGCCCAAGAGUUCAUAUCGACGGCGGUGUUUGGCACCUCGAUGUCGGCUCAUCUCAUCCUGGGGCUGUAGCCGGUCCCAAGGGUAUGGCUGUUCGCCAUUUAAAGAGGUACGUGAGCUGGGUUUAAAACGUCGUGAGACAGUUUGGUCCCUAUCUGCCGUGGGCGUUGGAUAUUUGAAGGGGGCUGCUCCUAGUACGAGAGGACCGGAGUGGACGAACCUCUGGUGUACCGGUUGUCACGCCAGUGGCAUCGCCGGGUAGCUAUGUUCGGAAGAGAUAACCGCUGAAAGCAUCUAAGCGGGAAACUCGCCUUAAGAUGAGAUAUCCCUGGGGACUAGAUCCCCUUGAAGGGUCGUUCGAGACCAGGACGUUGAUAGGUCAGGUGUGUAAGCGCAGUAAUGCGUUCAGCUAACUGAUACUAAUUGCCCGUAAGGCUUGAUCCUAUAACG
Molecule: ribosomal RNA, 618 nt
Filed under: Burkholderia cenocepacia
Lineage: Bacteria; Pseudomonadati; Pseudomonadota; Betaproteobacteria; Burkholderiales; Burkholderiaceae
Description: bacterial LSU rRNA
Rfam family: Bacterial large subunit ribosomal RNA
Source: RNAcentral